This is an RNA transcript of Hypomesus transpacificus, 3526 nucleotides long. It is a transcript of the gene named family with sequence similarity 120B, with no coding region annotated. The record is from RefSeq and is a predicted model, not a curated record. The transcript has 11 exons. Lineage: Eukaryota; Metazoa; Chordata; Actinopteri; Osmeriformes; Osmeridae.
ACAGGAAAUCGUAGGCUGACUAGCUAGCAUCGUUGUUGAAGUGUCUAGCAAGAUAUUAAAAGUGUGUGUAUUAGACAUUAUUCUUUCCUUUAAGAACAAUUAGGUUUGUAUUUUUCAUCUUAACGUUUUACCCAAACUCUCACCUGACUCACUAUAGGAUAGUGAGGCAGGGAUUUUCACAUAUCGGAAGGUCUGUUAGCAUUCCGCUUAGCAUGCAACACACACGCAUGCCAUGGAAUUUCGUGGUUGCUUGGAUUGUUUGAACGAAUAUGCUGUAAUUCCGUGAUUGUCAGACAUGUUCAGAACUGGGAGUGACAGCAUCAUGCAUGUAUCCUGAACAUUAUUGGAUUACUGUAUAUCGUAUGUCAGAACAGAGAUGGGUGUGAAGGGUUUGCAGUCUUUCACUGAACAGUGCUGUCAAGAGGGCUGUAUGCCAGUGCACCUCCGAGAACUGGCCAGCCAGCAUGUCAGGAAUCAACCCUCAACAAGUGACCCCAAUCCUCCUACACUAGUGGUGGACGGUAUGGCCUGUGUGAGGCAGUGGUACAGCUGUCCAGCCUGGGUCCAUGGGGGCCAGUGGAAGCAUUUUCUCCAUCUGCUGAAGGAGUGGGUGGGGGCCUUCACGUCUGCAGGGAUCCGCUUAGUAUUCUUCUUUGAUGGUGUAGUGGAGGAACAGAAGAGGGCAGAGUGGAUAAAGCGGAGGCAGAGGGUAAACAGGGACAUUUCUAGACUGUUCACCCAUGUGAAGAGGCAGGGGCAGCAGCCAGGCCGGGACUUGUUCUGUCUGCCCUCGGCACUGUCCACCUUCUCCCUCUUUGCUCUGCGCUCCCUGGGCCAACAGGUCCACUGUUCUGUACGAGAGGCUGACUAUGAGAUUGCUACCUUCGCCCUUCAGCAGAAUUGCAUGGGCAUACUAGGCCAGGACUCUGACUUUCUCAUCUAUGACAGUGCCCCCUACUUGUCAGUCAACAAGCUGCGUCUUGACCGCAUGACCACGAUGAUGUACUCCAGAGACUGCCUCUGCCACACCCUCCAACUGCACAUGGCAGAGCUCCCGCUCCUGGCGUGUCUCCUUGGAAACGAUGUGGUGCCAGAAGCAAGGAUGCAGCAUGUGCGUAGCAGAGCCCUGGCGAUCUACCGGAAGACGCAUCCGUGCUCUGAUCUGCCACUGAGGGAGAAGGUCCUGGCUGUAGCCCAGCUCAUAUUCUCCUCCCGGGGAUGCCUGGGUCCUGCAGGUCUGGAUCUCUCAGACUCAGACAGGCAGGUGCUGCAGAUGGGACUGCAGUACUACCUACUGCCAGGGCAGCAGUCACUGUGGGAGGGUCUAGUUUCCUCCUUUCCCCUUAGUCCUGUGUGUGCAAUGGAAAGAUACGUUUGCCCGGAAGUCCUCCAGGCAGCCAGAGAGAAGCACGCGCGAUGCGAGGGUUUCAUGGUGUACAACGUGCUGUACAAUGGCAUGGUGGAGUGCAGUAACACCCUGGAAGAUAAGGAGGAUGAGGAUCUGGCUCCCCAGGCUCUGGUGUUUCAACCAUGCAGGGAGCACAUCUACGGAAUCCUGCUCCCAAUACACCCAGACAGCAAUGGAGAUGUCCCAACAGUCAAAGAGUGGUUUGUGUUCCCCAAUAGCCCACUGAAGCAGCCCAACAUAGUCUAUCCUGCACCCCUCACACGCCCAGGUACAGCAUCACCCAGCGUAGAUCUGGAAGACCAACAAAAGAGACUACUGACCACCUGUGGACAACCAGAUCUGAAGGUGUUGUGGUUUGGGCAGGACCCUGAAUCAUCUAGUCUCCGCCUGACUUGCUUCUUGUCAGUGUUUGGCUGUGAGGAGCUGUCAGUGGAGCAGGGCCAACUAGAAGGUUCUCUCCUGGCGGUACUCUGUCUGGUCACCUACAUCACCAAACAGGUGGAGCGCCUCAGUCUGGAGGAUGUAGACGCCUAUCUGAGCCAGGCCGUCUGUCUCAGGUCCAAGAGCCCCACGCAGCUACGACACACUGCAGUUCCUCAUGUGAACUCUCGGGCGAUCCAGCUGGGCUCUCUGUUUGUGCGCGGCCUGACCCAUCUGCUGGAUGCUAACAGUGCCUGCGGUCAGCCCCUGGCCAUGGAGGAGCUGAUGCCCUGGCACACCUUUGACGGCCUGCUCUUUCACUCCAAAUACCUGAUGGCACACACUGGCACACCUCACCACCUGCUGCUGGAGGACAAUGCCUGCUGGCUCUCCACGUUUGUCAGCCUGAGACAGAAGGUUCUAGAGGCCUGCAGAAGGAAGGGUAGAAUUGUCCAGUCCAUCCCCAGACCCAGGACAACACUCCCAGGGCAGCCGGUCACUGACAGACGGCAGCGGGGGGAGAGAAACCCCCAGCAGCACAGAGUCACCCCGCAGCACAGAGACACCCAGCAGCACAGAGACACCCAGCUGCCCGGAGGAGCCACAACAGGGACUGAGCACUCCAGACCGAGAGCCAGAGCCCCCAACCGACAGAGAUACCAGCUAGCCCCCAGGUGGACCCAGUACAAUCACUUUCAGGACCCUGGUUCAGGUCUGCCCUGAGUUAUGGUCAGGGUUGGAGAGAGGGACAGGGGAUCGGAGGGGACAUCAUAAAAGCAGCCAGAGAGGAAAGAGGAUAUGGAGAAAGUUCCACAGAGCCAGUGGUCAGAGAGCAGCAGCUCCUUCCUCUAGAGAGAGUCCCCUCCCAGCCUCACACACUGGAAUGAAAAACACAGGCAGUGUGUGUGACAACAUACACGUUCACAUGUGUGUCAGACUAUAGACUGAGCAGGAAAGACACAGCGUGAUUUAUGACAGGAGGAAGAUGACAAGAAGUUUGUUGAUCAAGCAAUGGUGAGAUCCCGGUGCUCUGUCUGGCGAAGGGGCUCAGAGAUCCUGCUUCCCCACUGCUGUACCAUGGAAGGUAUGCUACCUCACUUUGGACGGGCACAGUACGAAGUUGGAAAGAGUAGCUUUAGUGUCUCACAGUCAGUGUCACAUUAGGCCUCAGUCACAAUGCUGGUGGCUGGAAACGGAACCAUACGGUGGGUCUGUUGGCGUACCUUGGCGGUACAGUGAAGCUAAACAAGCCGUGUUAGCAUGUUAGUCUAUAAAGAGACAUGGAUAAAUGGUAUCAACAACAACAAGAGACGCGGCGGCACGAUGGCUCCCCGGCUUCCACAGCCCCCAAUUAUCCUGGUUAAUUACGGCCUGGCUGCCUGUGUGCUAAUGAUCCCCCUGCCCCGGUCACCUCCGAGGGUCUUUCUCACUCCUCCGUGGUGUGGAACAAUGCCGCAGCGGAUGAAAAGGAUGUAAGGUUAUGUUACUGAGACACCUCUUCAGCUCCUCCCUCUUUCCUUCCCUCCUCCCCUUGCCUCCCUCCCUCCCCCCAACCCUGCUUUCCCCACCCCUUGCACUGUAUGAAUAGGCACUGACUACUGGAACAUAUGCUGCUUGUUCCUCAAUACACACUCAGUGUCUGUGUGUGUGUCUGUGUGUCACUGUGUAAAGAUCAGUGCAUGUGUGUGUGUGUAUCCA